This 2748-nucleotide ribosomal RNA is filed under the name Candidatus Woesearchaeota archaeon. RNAcentral's name for it is "23S ribosomal RNA". It matches the Rfam family "Archaeal large subunit ribosomal RNA". Lineage: Archaea; Nanobdellati; Candidatus Woesearchaeota. The record is from RNAcentral.
GUUAGGCGGAUAGCUUGGUUUUGGUACUGAUGAAGGACGUGGCAAGCUGCGAUAAGCUUGGGGGAGUUGCAUGCAAACUUUGAUCCCAAGAUCUCCGAAUUACACACAAUUUGUGUGAAGAUACUCCGGGAAUUGAAACAUCUUAGUACCGGAAGGAAAAGAAAAUAAAUAAUGAUUCCCUUAUUAGCAGAGAGCGAAAAGGGAAGAGGGCAAACCGAAUCUAUUCUUGAAAAAGAAUGUGAGAUGUGGUGAAGAUAAGCAACUAAGUUAAUGAAUUGAAAUUGUUUGGAACAACAUACCAUAGAAGGUGAUAGUCCUGUAAAUAAAGUUAAUAUGUUGCUCUUCAAAGAGUAGGGCUCCCCGAAUUGGGGGUCUGAAUAUAGCAGGAUUAACUGCUAACCCUAAAUAUAACCAAAGUCCGAUAGCGUACUAGUACCGCGAGGGAAAGCUGAAAAGUACUCUUAAACGAGGGUUAAAAGACUUGAAAUCUAACAGUUACAGAAUAGUUACUGCUCUAUAUCGCAAGAUAAGGGAGUUGUAACGUGCGUUUCGAAGAACGAGCCAAGGAGUUUUUUCAUGUGGCGAGGCUAACCUUUUGAAUAGGGUAACCAAAGCGAAAGCAAGUCUGAAAGGGCGUGAGUCACGUGGAUUAGACCUGAAGCCGGGUGAUCUAUCCAUGGGCAAGACGAAGUCUCUCGAAAGGGGGAUGGAGGUCUGAACUAGUGUUACGGACAUAUACUUAGAUGACCUGUGAAUAGGGGUGAAAAGCCUAUCUAACUCGGCGAUGGCUGGUUCCUGCUGAAAUAUGCCUACGUAUAGUCUUAUUUAGUUUGUUGACGGGGUAAAGUACGAAUAAAGCUUGCAGGGGCUAUUGCUUUCGGAGCUUUUUUCAACUCAGAAUCUGUCAACUACUUAAAAUGAGAAACAGGGUGUGUAUGUAAGAUACACUUCCGAGACCGGAACAACGGAGACCAAAGUUAAGGUCCCUAAAUUUAUACUAAGUGUAACGAAAGGAGUCUUGAAUCAGAGACACUAGGGAUGUAAGCUUAGAAGCAGCUAUCAUUCAAAGAAAGCGUAACAGCUCACCUAUUGAGAUUCAGGGCCCUGAAAAUGGACGGGGCUAAAGUAUAAUACCGAUACUUUGGCAGCACUCAGAUGAGUGACUGGGUAAGCAGGCGUCUUUUCUGCGUAGAAGCAUCUUCGAGAGAAGGUGUGGAGCUGAAAGGAAUGAGGAUCUUGGCAAUAGUAGGAUGUGAUUUUCCUGAGAACGGAAAAUGUCGAAAGAGCAAGGUUUCCUUGGCAAUAUCAUUUAACCAAGGGUUAGUCAGUACCUUAGCUGUAUCUUAACCGAAUACAGUGAUGGAAAGCAGGUUAAUAUUCCUGCACUGAUUAAAUUUUAUAUAGUACAAUUUGCUUUCGGAUAAGUAGGCACUCGAAAGGGUGUUUUAGUAAAGAAAACUGUGGAAUGUAAUGUGAAGAAGCAGAAGAAUUUACUAAACAAAACUAUUGACUCCAAGAGCCAGUGAAAUGAUUGUACUCUUAAUUUAAUCAACUGUACCCACAACCGACACUGGUGCUCUAGCUGAGAAGGCUAAGACAUGAAAGGUGAAACCAAUUAAGGGAACUCGGCAUAUUAGUCCUGUAGCUUCGGCUUAAGGGAUGUCUAUCUCUGUUUUUUCAGAAAUGUAAUAGCAGAGUUAGAUCUCAGUAACAAAGGCGGCCCGACUGUUUACCAAAAACGUAGCCAGUUGCUAAUCCGAAAGGACUUGUAUAACUGGUGAGACCUGCCCAGUCGCGGUGUUUCAAACUCCUUUUCAAGGGAGCUAAGACUCGUGAAACGGCGGGGGUAACUAUGACCCUCUUAAGGUAGCGUAAUACCUUGUCGUCUGAAUGGCGACUUGCAUGAAUGGUCCAACGAGGUUGCCACUGUCCCUAAUUGGAACCUUCUGAAAAUACUGUGCGGCGAAAAUGCCGCGGACGCCUAGUGGGAAGCGAAGACCUUGUGGAACUUUACUGCAACUUGUUGUUGUGAUCUUAAAGGGAAUGCAUAGAAUAGGUAGGAGCAUCGAGACACUUAUUUCGGUAGGUGUGGAGCAAAAGUGUAAUACUACCCACUUUCUUUAAGGUUUCUUACUCUUUAUGAGGACAGCAGCUGGCGGGCAGUUUGACUGGGGCGGUGCCCUGUCGAAAAUGUAUCGAUAGGACCCAAAGAUAAGCUCAUCCAGCUUGGAAAUCUGGAGAUGAGUGCGAGGGCAAAAGCUUAUCUGACUGUAUUCUGAACAGUAAGGAAUGCAGAGGUGAAAGCCGGGCCUAGAGAACCCACAUGCUUUUUUAAUAGAAGCUGUGUCUGAUAGAAAAGUUACCCCAAGGAUAACAGGCUUGUCGCGCCCGAAAGUUCAUAUUGACGGCGCGGUUUGGUACAUCGCUGUCGGCUCUUCCUAUCCUAGCCGUACAGAAGCGGCUAAGGGUGCCGGAGUUCACGUAUUAAAAGGGAUCGUUAGCUGGGUUAAGAACGUCGCGAGACAGUUUGUAUGAUAUCUACUAGGUGUGUUGUUGUCUGAGUGGAACGAAUCUCUAGUACGAAAGGAACGGGAUUUGGACGCCUCUGGUGAGCAGUUGUCAUUUGGCAGGCUGCAUAGCUACGCGUUGUGUGAAUAAGAGCUGAAUGCAUCUAAGCUUGAAGUCAUCCGCAAAACGAGACAACAAAGGCCGUCAUAGAAGAUGACGUUGAUAGAGUUGCUGUGUAAG